This is a long non-coding RNA of Drosophila yakuba, 907 nucleotides long. RefSeq lists it as uncharacterized. Lineage: Eukaryota; Metazoa; Arthropoda; Insecta; Diptera; Drosophilidae. The record is from RefSeq and is a predicted model, not a curated record. The transcript has 2 exons.
GUUUCUAGUUUGGACGAGCAAAGAGCGGCGGAUUGUAAAAAUUUGGCAUUUGUUUGCUAGUCUGCAGCGGGUCGUUUAAGUAGUUUAGAGGAUUGUAAAUCUAAAAUAAUAUUUUGUUUUGCAAUUGCAAUUUCACCUAACCAUAAAGUAUUUGAUUACAUCAAACACAUUUUCUUGCAGUUGCAAUACCUAGAAAUUUCUCUAACCUUUCCGCAAAUUAGUUUUUAGAACAUAUUUUCGGAAAUCCCCGACCACAAAGCACUUUAUUGGAUUUUGCUUAAUUUCAUUUGAGUGCACUGACAACGAAUUUCCAUCUCCAGUGAUAACAUAUCGGCAUUUCCUGGCGUUUCUAUAUAUAACCCACUUUUCCGAGGCAUGUGAGAGGGAGAGAGCAUCAAAACAAAAACACGCGCAAUGUUUACAUUUUUCUUUGUUGUCGCAACGGCUUUUUGUGACCCAACUGUCAAAUGGGCAAUCAACUUUGACUGAGAGAAAGCGACUUUCUCCCGUUUUCUCUCCAACUGUCAAGCUCGUUUUGCAGCCGAGCUUUUGGCCUUUGCAGCAAGGAAAAUACACGUUUUAUUAAAUUACCAAAAAAGUAUUAUUAGUGUUUUUGCGUUUGUAUUUUGUUAUUAGAAUUUCCCUAAAACAACGUAAUCGUAAUCACUCAUUAAUGCGGCUGAAUGUCAGCUUGUCUGCGCUUUCGGGUCUUCCUAGGGUAUUUUGCUGCGUUCUGAGAGGUUCAAGCUGACCGAUUGACCUACCACCGCAUAUGUAAUAGCCUCACACGCACACACCCCCGCUCACCUCGGCACCAACACAUGUACAAGUGUGAAAAAAUUUCUAAUAGCUCACUGCGAAGAAAGUGAAAGCAGCUUUUUAUUAUGUCCCUCUAAUCUGUUAUUAG